GCGAAGCUGACGGGAAUUGGCAUACCUCCCAUCCUCAAAAGUUGGGGUUUCCCGGUUCAAGUCCGGGGCUUCGCACCA
RNAcentral lists this transfer RNA (78 nucleotides) under Sulfuritalea sp. RNAcentral's name for it is "tRNA-Leu". Lineage: Bacteria; Pseudomonadati; Pseudomonadota; Betaproteobacteria; Nitrosomonadales; Sterolibacteriaceae. The record is from RNAcentral.